AGAGUUUGAUCCUGGCUCAGGAUAAACGCUGGCGGCGUGCCUAACCCAUGCAAGUCGAGCGAUUUGUAGCAAUACAGAGAGCGGCGGAAGGGUGAGUAACACGUGGAAAUCUACCUCGACGGAGGGAACAACCCCGCGAAAGUGGGGCUAAUACCCAAAAGCAUCCGCAAGGAUGAGAGUCGCAAGGCCUGUCGAGAGGAGUCCGCGGCCCAUCAGCUAGUUGGUGAGGUAAGAGCUUACCAAGGCUACGACGGGUAGGGGGUCUGAGAGGACGUCCCCCCACACUGGAACUGAAACACGGUCCAGACGCCUACGGGUGGCAGCAGGGAGGAAUAUUGGACAAUGGGGGAAACCCCGAUCCAGCAACGCCGCGUGAGGGAUGAAGGCCUUCGGGUCGUAAACCUCUUUUAAGGGAGACGAGAAAGGACGGUAUCCCUGGAAUAAG
This 445-nucleotide ribosomal RNA is filed under the name uncultured bacterium. RNAcentral describes it as "bacterial SSU rRNA". It matches the Rfam family "Bacterial small subunit ribosomal RNA", at positions 8 to 490 of the family's 1533-position model. The record is from RNAcentral.